CUCAUUUACAAUUCCAGAAUGAUUAAAUUGGAAAAUAUUGUGGAGGAGGACUUCAGUACUCUGACAGUGGCAAAAAGUAUUGAAUGUUAGACAGUUUAUAUGAAAGAGGUUUAAAAGGCUAAGAACUGAUGUGAUAUCUUUGUCGCCUUUGUGUUUCAGAUCAAUGCAGAAUUUCAAAGAACAACUACUGUACUUCAGGUACCGAAAUUUAUGUCUGUGUUUGACUGUCACACUCCCAAGCUACUGACGCCAUUUUGUGCCAACGAUGGAGCACUUGGAAGAAGACUGGAGAUCAUAAUGGAAAUGCUGCAGUGAUUGACUUCCUCCCCAGCACUCUUCGAUUGAGAGGACCAGAGAGAUUGUUCCUCGGUAUCUUACAAAAAAUACCUUGGAGAACAAGGGGGACAUCUUAUCAAAGAAUUCAACGACACUGAGAACUUGGAGGAACUUGAACAGCUCAUAAUGGCCAUUAAUGUGACCCCAAAGCGUGGAGCUUCUACAAGCAACUGCCCAAAGAACAUUGGGAUCCUCAUUAAGGGCGUGGAAGUCAUCACAGGACUUGGAGAUAUUGCAAGGGCUUGCAUUGUCCUCUUUGGCUUGACCUACGCGCUGAAUCUUGAUUAUCCCAGACUACUGAAGUACACCUUUGAGGUGUUCCAAUUUUUUUUCUUGGAACUGGAUGAUUCAAAGCUUUCUAACAAAGUCCAGUCCCUCAAGAACAAACUUCAGGCUUGAAAUGGGACUGUAUUGCAGUGCAGAGUUUUGUGCUACACAAUGUUCAUCUUCUACAGAGCUUGGGAAUUGCAAUUUUAAGUUGAAGUCAGCAUUUUGUCCUUUUCAAAGUUCUGAAAAAGUUUGAAAUGCUUGAGCAAACUUCUGGCUUUAAAAAAGAGACAGUAGUAGUUGCAGUGUACAUGAUUUGCUACACAAUGUUUAGCUUCUACAGAGCUUGGGAAUUACACAUCUGAAAGUGUUAUGUUUGUAAGUUAGCACUGAUUUGGACUCUUAUCCCACGAAUGUCAGUGAUAUUUCUAGUUCAAAGUACGAAAUGUUUAUUGCUCUGUACAAAUUACACUUUUCUGCUUUUUUUGGUACAUGCACCUCUGGAGGAUUUUCCUUUAAGAUCAUUAUUGACCCAAUUUAGUGGGAUGUGAGAUGAGAAAGCAUGGAAACAGGUUUAUAGACACAUCACAUCAUUCUUUAUGUAAUUUAUUUUUGUUUUUACAAAAUAGUUUAAAGUCAGCAUUCUGUCCUUUUCAAACUUCUGGCUUGAAAUGAGACUGUGGUUGCAGUGUACAAUGAUUUGCUACAAUGUGUCUAAAGCACAAAAGUGAAUUGUUAAUAAAAUUCUUAUUUGA
Carassius auratus (goldfish) is the source of this 1358-nucleotide long non-coding RNA. RefSeq lists it as uncharacterized. The record is from RefSeq and is a predicted model, not a curated record. The transcript is spliced from 3 exons. Lineage: Eukaryota; Metazoa; Chordata; Actinopteri; Cypriniformes; Cyprinidae.